AGGGGAGCAUUGUGUACGAGGCGAAGCUGAGCUGGAAGGCGAGGUGGAUUGUACACAAGAGAGAAUGCUGGUAUGAGUAGCGAAAGAAAGGUGAGAAUCCUUUCCAUCGAAAAUCCAAGGUUUCCUGAGGAAGGUUCGUCCGCUCAGGGUAAGUCGGGACCUAAGCCGAGGCCGAAGGGCGUAGGCGAUGGACAACUGGUUGAAAUUCCAGUACCACCUUUAACUGUUUGAGAGAUGGAGUGACACAGGAGGAUAAGCUGACCCGUCGAAUGGAAGAGACGGGCCAAAUGUCGAGUGUGGAUCCUAGGCAAAUCCGGGAUCCGUGAAGCAUGAGGCAUGAAGGGGACCGAAAAUAAAGUAGGGAAGCAGCUGAUUUCACACUGUCGAGAAAAGCUUCUAUUGAGGAAAAAGGUGCCCGUACCGCAAACCGACACAGGUAGAUGAGGAGAGAAUCCUAAGAUGAGCGGGAGAAGUGUUGUUAAGGAACUCGGCAAAAUAACCCCGUAACUUCGGGAGAAGGGGAGCCUAAUCCGGUUAUUGUAAAAUGAUACGGAAAGGUUGCAGAGAAAAGGCCCAAGCGACUGUUUAGCAAAAACACAGGUCUCUGCUAAAUCGAAAGAUGAAGUAUAGGGGCUGACGCCUGCCCGGUGCUGGAAGGUCAAGGGGACUGCUUAGCGCAAGCGAAGGCAUGAACUUAAGCCCCAGUAAACGGCGGCCGUAACUAUAACGGUCCUAAGGUAGCGAAAUUCCUUGUCAGGUAAGUUCUGACCCGCACGAAAGGCGUAACGAUUUGGGCACUGUCUCAACAACACACCCGGUGAAAUUGUAGUACUCGUGAAGAUGCGAGUUACCCGCGACAGGACGGAAAGACCCCGUAGAGCUUUACUGUAGCUUGGCAUUGGAUUUUGGUAUUGUAUGUACAGGAUAGGUGGGAGGCUGAGAAGAUAGGACGCUAGUUUUAUCUGAGCCGCUGUUGGGAUACCACUCUUACCAUACUGAAAUUCUAACCAGUAGCCGUUAACCGGUUAUGGGACAUUGCCAGGUGGGCAGUUUGACUGGGGCGGUCGCCUCCGAAAGAGUAACGGAGGCGCCCAAAGUUUACCUCAGAAUGGUUGGAAAUCAUUCGUAGAGUGCAAAGGCAAAAGGUAGACUGACUGCGAGAGAGACAUCUCGAGCAGGGACGAAAGUCGGGCUUAGUGAUCCGGUGGUACCGAGUGGAAGGGCCAUCGCUCAACGGAUAAAAGCUACCUCGGGGAUAACAGGCUUAUCUCCCCCAAGAGUCCACAUCGACGGGGAGGUUUGGCACCUCGAUGUCGGCUCGUCUCAUCCUGGGGCUGUAGUAGGUCCCAAGGGUUGGGCUGUUCGCCCAUUAAAGAGGCACGCGAGCUGGGUUCAGAACGUCGUGAGACAGUUCGGUCCCUAUCCGUCGUGGGCGCAAGAUAUUUGAGAGGAGCUGUUCCUAGUACGAGAGGACCGGAAUGGACAGACCUCUGGUGCACCAGUUGUCCUGCCAAGGGCAUAGCUGGGUAGCUAAGUCUGGAAGGGAUAAGCGCUGAAGGCAUCUAAGCGCGAAGCCCCCCUCAAGAUGAGAUAUCUCAUUCGAAAGAAGUAAGGUCCCCGGUAGACGACCGGGUUGAUAGGCCAGAGGUGUAAGUGCAGAAAUGCAUUCAGCUGACUGGUACUAAUAGACCGAGGACUUGACCAA
This is a non-coding RNA of Alkalibacter saccharofermentans DSM 14828, 1705 nucleotides long. Lineage: Bacteria; Bacillati; Bacillota; Clostridia; Eubacteriales; Eubacteriaceae. The record is from Rfam.